UACAGAGGGGGCGAGCGUUGUUCGGAAUUACUGGGCGUAAAGGGCGCGUAGGCGGCCCGCUAAGUCGAACGUGAAAUCCCCAGGCUCAACCUGGGAACUGCGUCCGAUACUGGCAGGCUUGAAUCCGGGAGAGGGAUGUGGAAUUCCAGGUGUAGCGGUGAAAUGCGUAGAUAUCUGGAGGAACACCGGUGGCGAAGGCGGCAUCCUGGACCGGUAUUGACGCUGAGGCGCGAAAGCCAGGGGAGCAAACGGG
Molecule: ribosomal RNA, 253 nt
Filed under: uncultured bacterium
Lineage: Bacteria
Description: partial 16S ribosomal RNA
Rfam family: Bacterial small subunit ribosomal RNA
Source: RNAcentral